RNAcentral lists this small RNA (78 nucleotides) under Xanthomonas oryzae. RNAcentral describes it as "sX9 sRNA". It matches the Rfam family "Xanthomonas sRNA sX9". The record is from RNAcentral. Lineage: Bacteria; Pseudomonadati; Pseudomonadota; Gammaproteobacteria; Lysobacterales; Lysobacteraceae. RNAcentral also lists the same sequence under 1 other name.
AUGUACUUCCGCGUCCACUGCGGUUGUGAGCGCGCCGUCCGCGCCCACCUGACAACUGCUUGCGACGUGUUGUGAGCC